Callithrix jacchus (white-tufted-ear marmoset) is the source of this 104-nucleotide small nuclear RNA. NCBI's taxonomy places the organism in Eukaryota, Metazoa, Chordata, Mammalia, Primates, Cebidae. The record is from Ensembl.
GUGCUCGCUUCAGCAGCACAUAUACUAAAAUUGGAAUGAGACAAAGAUUAGCAUGGGCCCUGUGCAAGAAUGACACGCAAAUUUGUAAAGCAUUCCAUAUAUUU